Molecule: long non-coding RNA, 939 nt
Filed under: Cricetulus griseus (Chinese hamster)
Lineage: Eukaryota; Metazoa; Chordata; Mammalia; Rodentia; Cricetidae
Description: lncRNA (ENSCGRG00015036124.1)
Source: RNAcentral
GCCAAGAGGCUAAAGCAUGCUUCCCGAAAGCUCACCUGAUAUAUGGGGAUAAAGGAAGGGGAGUGUGGAUGCCCAGCCAAAUGGAGGUUAUGGACAAGCAGAAGAUGAGACAGAGACUCCCAUUUUCCCACCCAGGUUCUUCACCCUGUGGACUGGGAGACACGCCAGCCUCCUUUUCCAUCUAAGAAAUUGCGGCAGCUGUGACUACUCAGGGCAGAAAUGUUUGGAUACAAGCUGGCAUGGAUCAUCCGGAAAGAUCUAGAGAGAUUCACCGCAACAGCAAGGAAAUGCCAGUUCCUUCCUGUAAGCUUUGCCUCAUGAGUCAAGGUGGAGGAGACUGAAGUCCAGGGACCUUGGCCUGAGAAACUUUUACAGUUUUUACAAAGGUAUUUAAAACAGAUAUUCACACCAAACAUUUGAUGAUAGUAAAUCAUAAAAUAUUUCAAAACCAUUCAUUGGUAUACAUGCAAAUUUUCCAUUUAUUAGAGAUAAAAGUAAGUCCAUGUAUUAAUGAGAUGGAUGUGUUUAUUUAUUUUUUACCUACAGAAUUAAACCUUAGGGGCUAGAGAGCUGGUUCAGUGGUUAAGAACACUUGUUGUUCUUGCAGGGGACCUGGUUUGAUUCCCAGCACCAACAUGGUGGCUCACAAUUUCACAUCUACUCCACAAGCAGGAAGCAGAGAGAGAGAUACCUGGGAGUGGCAUGGGUUUUUGAAACCUCAAAGCCUCCUCUCAGUGAUGCAUUUCCUCUAACAAGACCACACCUCCUAAUCCUUCUCAAAUAGUUCCAUCAACUGAGGACCAAGCCUUUAAAUAUACAAUUUGAGGGGCCAUUCUCAUCCAAGGCACCACACACAAACUUAAACAAACAAAUAAAUAAAGGUGUGUGCUAUCAUACCCAGCUUUGUUUAAGAAAUAAUUAAGUGAGGCAGUGGUCUAC